This 433-nucleotide ribosomal RNA is filed under the name uncultured bacterium. RNAcentral's name for it is "partial 16S ribosomal RNA". It matches the Rfam family "Bacterial small subunit ribosomal RNA", at positions 29 to 507 of the family's 1533-position model. The record is from RNAcentral.
AACGAACGCUGGCGGCAUGCCUAACACAUGCAAGUCGAACGAGACCUUCGGGUCUAGUGGCGCACGGGUGCGUACCGCGUGGGAACCUGCACUUAGGUUCGGAAUAACUCCCCGAAGGGGGUGCUAAUACCGGAUAAUGUCUUCGGACCAAAGAUUUCUCGCCUUUGGGUGGGCCCGCGUUUGUUUAGCGAGUUGGUAGGGUAAAAGCCUACCAAGGCGACGAUCCAUAGCUGGUCGGAGAGGAUGAUCAGCCACGCUGGGACUGCGGCACGGCCCACACGCCUACGCGGGGCAGCAGUGUGGAGCAUUGGACGCUGAGCGAAAGCCUGAUCCAGCAGUGCCGCGUGAGUGAUGAAGGCCUUAGUGUUGUAAUUCUCUUUUUGCCGGGAUGAUAAUGACAGUACCGGGUGAAGAAGCACCGGCUAACUCCGUG